GGGUGCGAUCAUACCAGCACUAAUGCACCGGAUCCCAUCAGAACUCCGAAGUUAAGCGUGCUUGGUUGGGCGAGAGUAGUACUAGGAUGGGUGACCUCCUGGGAAGUCCUCGUGUUGCACCCC
Ribosomal RNA from Ziziphus jujuba (common jujube), 123 nucleotides. The record is from RefSeq and is a predicted model, not a curated record. NCBI's taxonomy places the organism in Eukaryota, Viridiplantae, Streptophyta, Magnoliopsida, Rosales, Rhamnaceae.